GUAGGGAAUUUUCGGCAAUGGGCGCAAGCCUGACCGAGCAACGCCGCGUGAGGGAAGAAGGUCUUCGGAUCGUAAACCUUUGUCUUUGGGGACGAUAAUGACGGUACCCAAGGAGGAAGCCACGGCUAACUACGUGCCAGCAGCCGCGGUAAUACGUAGGUGGCAAGCGUUGUCCGGAAUUACUGGGCGUAAAGGGCGUGUAGGCGGCCUUUUAAGUCAGACGUGAAAACCUGGGGCUUAACCUGAGGAGUGCGUUUGAAACUGGAAGGCUUGAGGAUCGGAGAGGGCAGUGGAAUUCCCAGUGUAGCGGUGAAAUGCGUAGAUAUUGGGAGGAACACCAGUGGCGAAGGCGGCUGCCUGGACGACACCUGACGCUGAGGCGCGAAAGCUAGGGGAGCAAACGGGAUUAGAUACCCGGGUAGUCC
RNAcentral lists this ribosomal RNA (425 nucleotides) under uncultured bacterium. Its description in RNAcentral is "bacterial SSU rRNA". It matches the Rfam family "Bacterial small subunit ribosomal RNA", at positions 354 to 796 of the family's 1533-position model. The record is from RNAcentral.